AGAGACUGACGCAGGGCAUGGAAGGGCCC
RNAcentral lists this small RNA (29 nucleotides) under Bombyx mori (domestic silkworm). Its description in RNAcentral is "ovarian small RNA-11919". The record is from RNAcentral. Lineage: Eukaryota; Metazoa; Arthropoda; Insecta; Lepidoptera; Bombycidae.